CAGAAUGGGUCACUUCGCCCUUUCUCGGUCCGUGACUUGGAUCAGUUUGCCUCUGUCCGUGUCCCACACACCGCAUGGGCUUAUGUGAAGUUGGAGACAACACUUACUGUGACCCCAAAAUGAUUGUCGGUGGUGAACUCUGAAAUGGCAAUGCUAAUCAACCCAGCUGUGGGAGACCCAGGACAUUGAAAAGAGCAGGGAGUAAGGAGGAUAACAACCAAUGUCAGUCUUCCUCAGCCCAGAGACUUGAGGGACAAAGAGAAUGCAAGACAACU
This is a long non-coding RNA of Mobula hypostoma (lesser devil ray), 275 nucleotides long. RefSeq lists it as uncharacterized. The transcript has 3 exons. The record is from RefSeq and is a predicted model, not a curated record. NCBI's taxonomy places the organism in Eukaryota, Metazoa, Chordata, Chondrichthyes, Myliobatiformes, Myliobatidae.